CCCUUAGAUGUCCUGGGCCGCACGCGCGCUACACUGAUGCAUGCAACGAGUUUAUAACCUUGGCCUGAAAGGUCUGGGUAAUCUUUUGAACGUGCAUCGUGAUAGGGAUAGAUUAUUGCAAUUGUUAAUCUUGAACGAGGAAUUCCUAGUAAACGCGAGUCAUCAGCUCGCAUUGAUUACGUCCCUGCCCUUUGUACACACCGCCCGUCGCAUCUACCGAUUGAAUGGUUCGGUGAAGAUCUCGGACUUCGAUAUUUAUUCUUUAUUGAGUUUAUAUUGUGGGAAGUUAUCUAAACCUCAUCAUUUAGAGGAAGGUGAAGUCGUAACA
RNAcentral lists this ribosomal RNA (328 nucleotides) under uncultured eukaryote. RNAcentral describes it as "partial 18S ribosomal RNA". It matches the Rfam family "Eukaryotic small subunit ribosomal RNA", at positions 1470 to 1796 of the family's 1831-position model. The record is from RNAcentral.